AGCGAAGUAAGCCAAUCCCAAAAAACCAAAGCCGAAUGUUCUCUCUGUUUUUCCUGCACUUAUUCAAGAGGCUGCGGCUACACCAUCACUGAUGAGAAUAUCCAGUCCUUCCAUACUUGAAGCAGUGAACCCAAACCAGGGCUUUGGCCACAAAGCCAGCCAUGCUGAGAGCUCAUGAGAACAUCUGGAUGAUGUCAGAAUCAGUUUCAACAACACCCAGCAUCACCUGAUUACAGCUCCACAUAGCCCUACAAUUCUACAGGGGAAAAUGGACUCAGAACAAAAGAUGCCUGGGUGAGUUCAUUCUGUAACAAGCCAAUCAAAGGUAAGUAAAGCAAAGGAAUAAUAAAAAGAGAAAGAAAGAAAGAGACGGGUACUUUGAACAAAAAUAGCAAGUGCUUUUGAUCCAGUUGUUUAUGUCAGAAAUCAAUAGAGAUGUUUUCUUUCACUUUGGAGAGUUAGAAUUGAAAUUUGUUGAAAUUGGAUCUUGAGGCACUUAGAAUUUUUUUCCUUGGUACUGGAACAAUGGCACACAUUCUGUUUACAAGAAGCACUGGCCACUGUGGCAAAAAUUGUAGCAAUUGUAGUGGUUUUAUUCUCAGCUCUCUGUUUUCAGGAUGUAUAGGCUCAGAGGUAUUAAUGGAUGGUACACAAAGAAAGCCUUUAAUCGAUUUCUGGAAAUAUGUAAAAUAUUUCACUUCAGCAAAUGCCUAUUUCCACAAAUACCAUCAAACCUUGAUGUUAACAGGAAGGUGUAAGAGUGACAGAGCACCACUGCAAACAUCUCUGCAUGGAAAUUUCAUCUCAGAAACAGGAAAUGAUUAUGGUAAACGAACGAUCUCGAGAUAAAACAGUUUCACAAAACAAACCAAAAUGAGUGUGGUGGUGCAUGUUAGCUUGCUUUAUAUGACUUUGUUUUAAUUAAGGUCUGAUUACCACAGCUGCGACUCAUUUACCUAAUAACAGAGUUUGAUGUUUCAAAAUUAAAGAACUUCAGGGCUGGAACCAUGGUGUCGGAGCGUGAGAGGGAGCAUGUCAUGGUAACCUUCAGUGUUCCGAUUGUGAAUUGCUGUGGGGAUUUGCCUAAAGCCCAUGAAAUUCACGGCAAAGAGAGCAUUGUGUUGAGCUAUGGAAUAAGAAGCAGCUGUCCACUGAUGCCUCCAAACAGGCCAGCAUAGGCUCUGCAUACCCCUCUUGUGACUCAGAAAAUUUUUCACCAAAAUACCUCCUAACUUAUGAGGUCUCUAAAAGAUUCCCUGUUUCCCCUGGAGCAAGCACUGUGAUCCUGCUGAAAUGAGGAAGUUCAGAAUUUAACUUUCUUCCUCUACAGUGAAAGUUUAUUUCCUUGCUCUUUAUUUGAAUGAACAUGAGAUCUGUAAUAGGUUUUUCUGGAUUGAUGGGCCCUUUCAGCUAAUGUUCCAGGCAGUUCUAGAUUGGACCAGUGCUACAAAUACUAAGAAUAAUUUGCUGGUUGUAACAUGUGAAAAGUUAUUUCUAAUGGAACUAUUCACACCAGCCAAUCCCUAACAUGCCUCCAUUUUUUUUUACCCAGAUGCCAUCCCAGACACCCUUUACUUUUUACCCUCCACCAUCCUGAGCUCUGGUGCCUAAAUCACAAACCAAGCUCAGGUAUGUUCUCCAUAUGAGACAAGAUUUGAUAAAUCCAGAUGGAAAAUAUAAAGUGGAAUUCUUCUGGUUUUGGAGCAGAUGUUGAACUACAGUCACACGUGCAGUAGAAAAUGUUUUAUGCCUGUCUCACCCUCAUCUUCAAAGCACAUCCUUCCCCUUGAGGUGCCAAGAGCAGCGCCCUGUGACCCUUUACUUCUUGACUAAACUGACUUAGCCAGAGGCCAGCAUCCUAGCCAAAAUUGACUACCAAUAAUGGGGCCUGGGAAAAGUUUCACCAUACAAGUCAAGGUUCCAAUAAAGCAUAAGUGCUUCACUCUGCGAUACAAGAUAACUGCGUAAGUAAAAAGAACCAAUUAAAUAUAAAUCAAUA
Molecule: long non-coding RNA, 1999 nt
Organism: Ictidomys tridecemlineatus (thirteen-lined ground squirrel)
Lineage: Eukaryota; Metazoa; Chordata; Mammalia; Rodentia; Sciuridae
Source: RefSeq, a predicted model, not a curated record